GGCAAGAGUAGAAGCGUUCACCAGCCGCGCGCCAGAUCGAUGCGCAUGGCGGCUGGCCGGGAAUUGCUCUUGAA
Cupriavidus taiwanensis LMG 19424 is the source of this 74-nucleotide non-coding RNA. Lineage: Bacteria; Pseudomonadati; Pseudomonadota; Betaproteobacteria; Burkholderiales; Burkholderiaceae. The record is from Rfam.